RNAcentral lists this ribosomal RNA (827 nucleotides) under Leccinum pachyderme. RNAcentral's name for it is "eukaryotic LSU rRNA". The stretch from base 199 to 353 matches the Rfam family "5.8S ribosomal RNA". The record is from RNAcentral. Lineage: Eukaryota; Fungi; Basidiomycota; Agaricomycetes; Boletales; Boletaceae.
ACAAGGUUUCCGUAGGUGAACCUGCGGAAGGAUCAUUAUUGAAUACACACAGGAUUGUUGCUGGCUAGAUUCAUUUCUAGCAUCGUGCACAUCUAUCUUCCACACACACACUUGUGAACUUAUUGUAGAUCGCAAGAUCUAUGUCUUUAAUUCAUCACAUAUCCAUCGUAUGUCUACAGAAUGUUACAAAUAUAAUACAACUUUCAGCAAUGGAUCUCUUGGUUCUCGCAUCGAUGAAGAACGCAGCGAAUUGCGAUACGUAAUGUGAAUUGCAGAUUUUCAGUGAAUCAUCGAAUCUUUGAACGCACCUUGCGCCCCUUGGUAUUCCGAGGGGCAUGCCUGUUUGAGUGUCAUUUAAUUAUCAACCAAUUUAGUCUUUGAUUAGACUUUUUUGGAUUGGAGUUGGGAAUUGCUGGUCUUAACAAAGGAUCAGCUGUCCUUAAAUGCAGUAGCAAGUGAAAGUGAUUUUACGUGGCACGGCCUUUGACGUGAUAAUGAUCGUUGUGGGCUGGAAGCGUUUAAUUAAGCUAGUAGUUUGCUUUAAUUAUAUAACGAGUGAAUUUCUAUGUGCAUACGGCUGGAAAGCAUUAGUAAUGGAAGCUUGAGCGGAAAGUAAGCUAUGUUGUAAAAGGCAUAGUAAAUGUGGAAGCUUGAGUGAAAGUGAGAAUGUGUAGUAGGCUGGAAGGCAUAGCAUUGAAGCUAGUUAAACAAGGAAUUGAAAAAUAACCUGUGGAAUAUUUCUAUGUGCAUAGCAUAGUUAUUGAGAAACUAGUGAAAAAGUAAAUUCCGACUUGAAAGUUGACCUCAAAUCAGGUAGGACUACCCGC